GGACCAUCUUUACACAAUAUUUGGUGAGUGACACAUGAGCUGUCCAAAACAGUCUUCUGUGGCUACACUGACACAUAGGUGAUCCUUCCAUCACAGCAAGUUUACUGCAGUGGUGACCAUGAGACCUAUAACAUUU
Lynx canadensis (Canada lynx) is the source of this 136-nucleotide small nucleolar RNA. Ensembl annotates it as small nucleolar RNA SNORA1. The record is from Ensembl. Lineage: Eukaryota; Metazoa; Chordata; Mammalia; Carnivora; Felidae.